UUUGUCAUGCUUAAAGCGAACGAACGCGAGAGACAGAGAGCGAGCUAGAGCAAGAGCGUGAGCGAGCAGUGUGAGUGUGCGAGAGAGAGUGCGCGCCAAAAAAACACAAGUCCAAUGUAUAUGAAAAUGGGGGUAUGGAAAUCCCUCCUUUUGACAGCCGAACCUUGACAACACAGGUUCUUGAUGGAUGUCUUCUGCUUCUAUUUCGGCUUAUAUCAUAAAUAGUGUAUGGAAUAUUGAAAGCUCCAACUCAAUGCCACUGCAGAUCGGGACCCGACCUUCCACUCAAUAUACCUUGCACAAACAGACACAAACAGCGACGCCGGCUGUGACUGCGCAGUUGUUUUGAUAAAGUGAAAAAGAAACACGGCAGCAGCAGAGCAGUAACAACAAGUAUGAAGGGAAAGGAGGGUGGUGGAAGAGCUACUAUGACUGGAGAGGAGUGGCGGAGGAGCUACUACGAUGAUGAUGAUGAUGAUGAGGAGUUUUCGAGAGAGAUGACGAAGAGACGUUCACGGGAGAAGGCGACGACUGCUUCUUGGGCCGCCAGCGCUGCCGUCGACUCACACAUACCACUACAUGCGCAGCGAGUCAAACAAACAAAUAAAAUGUGAAGCAGAAAUGGCAAAAAAUUAAACAAACAAGUAGACAGGAGCGGUUCACCGCGGGCAGCGGGCAGCAGCGGCGACGUCGGCGGCAGACCUGGAGUUGAACGAACCGAAAGACGACCAAGACACAAAAAAAUCAGCUCAACGGCAGCUUCGCGCCAAAAAAACAUCGACAUUUCUACUACGCCGUAGUAAAAUUCCUAAAACAAAAAAAGCGUAUUCUCAAUUGACA
Molecule: long non-coding RNA, 840 nt
Organism: Drosophila miranda
Lineage: Eukaryota; Metazoa; Arthropoda; Insecta; Diptera; Drosophilidae
Exons: 2
Source: RefSeq, a predicted model, not a curated record